Non-coding RNA from Chlorocebus sabaeus (green monkey), 1002 nucleotides. NCBI's taxonomy places the organism in Eukaryota, Metazoa, Chordata, Mammalia, Primates, Cercopithecidae. The record is from RefSeq and is a predicted model, not a curated record.
GAGCAAAGGCACAUCUUACAUGGCAGCAGGCAAAAGGCGCAUCUUACAUGGCAGCAGUGUCUUUUGCAGCGCACCUCAGGAUAAUUUUAUUUCUGGAAACUCGGAUUUCUUCUAUGCCACUGGGCUUUAGUCUGGACCAAAAUUACUCUGUUUUGAAAUUCCUUCCCCAGAGACUGCAUUCUUCUUAAGCAGAUUGAACCACAUCCUCCCUAAUAACCAAUUUUGAAUAGUAGGGAUCUCAGAUCAACUCUACUCAGUCACAGAAGGCUCUGAAACACCCAAAUCUGAUGACAUGCUGUCUAGACACUCACAUUUGCCUGAAAGGGUCACACAGAUGGCCUAUGACAGGAAAGACAUCUGACUAAAAAAACUUCUUGGGGCCACGCACAGUAGCUCAUGUUUCUAAUCCCAGCACUUUGGGAGGCUGAGGCGGGCAGAUUGCUUGAGGCCAAGAACUUCAGAUCAGCUUGGCCAACAUAAAACCCUGUCUCUACUAAAAAUACAAAAAGUAGCUGAGUGUGCUGGCGUGUGCCUGUAGUCCUAGCUACUGGGGAGGCUGAGACAGGAGAAUUGCUUGAGGCGCAGGUUGCAGUGAGCUGAGAGCCCGCCAUUGCCCUCCAGUCUGUGUAACAGAGUGAGACUUCAUCUUAAAAAAACAAAACAAAACAAAACCUUCUUGAUUAAAAUAUAUAGUUCUGAAACUAUUCUGUAGGACACUGUAAUGAUGGAUAUAUAUAAUUAUGUAUUUGGCAAAACCUAUAGAAUGCAUAACACAAGGAGUGAAUCCUAAUGUAAACUAUGGACUUUAAUAAUAAUAAUGUCAUUAAUUAUAACAAAUGCAUCACAUUAAUUCAAGAUGCUAGUAAUAGGGAAAAUUAUGGAUAUGUAUGUGUGUGUAGUGGGUAUAUGGGAACACUCUUUACUCCGUGAUGAAUUUUUCUGUAAACCUGUAACUGUUCUAAAAAAAAAGUCUAUUAAUUAAAAUGAGUACACUGCCUCAAA